Molecule: ribosomal RNA, 465 nt
Filed under: Vreelandella stevensii
Lineage: Bacteria; Pseudomonadati; Pseudomonadota; Gammaproteobacteria; Oceanospirillales; Halomonadaceae
Description: partial 16S ribosomal RNA
Rfam family: Bacterial small subunit ribosomal RNA
Source: RNAcentral
CCUACGGGCGGCAGCAGUGGGGAAUAUUGGACAAUGGGGGCAACCCUGAUCCAGCCAUGCCGCGUGUGUGAAGAAGGCCCUCGGGUUGUAAAGCACUUUCAGUGAGGAAGAACGCCUGGUGGUUAAUACCCAUCAGGAAAGACAUCACUCACAGAAGAAGCACCGGCUAACUCCGUGCCAGCAGCCGCGCUAAUACGGAGGGUGCGAGCGUUAAUCGGAAUUACUGGGCGUAAAGCGCGCGUAGGUGGCUUGAUAAGCCGGUUGUGAAAGCCCCGGGCUCAACCUGGGAACGGCAUCCGGAACUGUCAAGCUAGAGUGCAGGAGAGGAAGGUAGAAUUCCCGGUGUAGCGGUGAAAUGCGUAGAGAUCGGGAGGAAUACCAGUGGCGAAGGCGGCCUUCUGGACUGACACUGACACUGAGGUGCGAAAGCGUGGGUAGCAAACAGGAUUAGAUACCCCAGUAGUC